Molecule: unclassified non-coding RNA, 253 nt
Filed under: uncultured Bacillaceae bacterium
Lineage: Bacteria; Bacillati; Bacillota; Bacilli; Caryophanales; Bacillaceae
Description: contains 16S-23S intergenic spacer region
Rfam family: Bacterial small subunit ribosomal RNA
Source: RNAcentral
UACGUAGGUGGCAAGCGUUGUCCGGCAUUAUUGUGCGUAUAGCGCGCGCAGGCGGUCCCUUGAGGCUGAUGUGAAAGCCCACGGCUCAACCGUGGAGGGUCAUUGGAAACUGGGUGACUUGAGUACAGAAGAGGAGAGUGGAAUUCCACGUGUAGCGGUGAAAUGCGUAGAUAUGUGGAGGAACACCAGUGGCGAAGGCGACUCUCUGGUCUGUAACUGACGCUGAGGCGCGAAAGCGUGGGGAGCAAACAGG